GACGUAGGGGGCCAGCGUUGUUCGGAAUUACUGGGUGUAAAGGGUUCGUAGGCGGUGCGGCAAGUCGGGAGUGAAAUCUCUGGGCUUAACCCAGAGGCUGCUUCCGAAACUGCUGUGCUUGAGUGUGGGAGAGGCGCGUGGAAUUCCCGGUGUAGCGGUGAAAUGCGUAGAUAUCAGGAGGAACACCGGUGGCGAAGGCGGGUCUCUGGGCCGAUACUGACGCUGAGGAGCGAAAGCGUGGGGAGCGAACAGG
This 253-nucleotide ribosomal RNA is filed under the name uncultured bacterium. RNAcentral describes it as "partial 16S ribosomal RNA". It matches the Rfam family "Bacterial small subunit ribosomal RNA", at positions 524 to 776 of the family's 1533-position model. The record is from RNAcentral.